CUUUACUAUAACUUGGCAUUGGGUUCGGGCUUCUCUUGCGCAGGAUAGGUGGGAGACUAUGAUGAUGUCCUUGUGGGGACAUCGGAGUCAACGGUGAGAUACCACUCUGGAAAGGCUAGAAUCCUCAUGGUGAUCCUUGAAUCAGGACACUUGACAGUUUCAGGCGGGCAGUUUCUCUGGGGCGGAGGCCUCAUAAAAGGUAACGGAGGCGCGCAAAGGUUCCCUCAGGCUGGUCGGAAAUCAGCCAAAGAGUGUAAAAGCAUAAGGGAGCUUGACUGCAAGACCAACAAGUCAAGCAGGGACGAAAGUCGGCUUUAGUGAUCCGACGGCACAGCGUGGAAUGGCCGUCGCUCAACGGAUAAAAGUUA
Molecule: ribosomal RNA, 368 nt
Filed under: uncultured organism
Description: bacterial LSU rRNA
Rfam family: Bacterial large subunit ribosomal RNA
Source: RNAcentral